This 1941-nucleotide ribosomal RNA is filed under the name human metagenome. RNAcentral describes it as "bacterial LSU rRNA". It matches the Rfam family "Bacterial large subunit ribosomal RNA", at positions 1 to 1977 of the family's 2925-position model. The record is from RNAcentral.
GUUAAACAUAAAGAGCGUAGGGUGGAUGCCUAGGCACUAAGAGCCGAUGAAAGACGUGAUAAGCUGCGAAAAGCUGCGGUAAGGAGCAAAUAUCCAUUGACCCGCAGAUAUCUGAAUGGGGAAACCUGCUUAAGUAAACCUUAAGUAUCCAUGGGUGAAUAAAAUAGUCCAUGGAAGGGAACCCGGUGAACUGAAACAUCUAAGUAGCCGGAGGAAGAGAAAGAAAAAUCGAUUUUGGGAGUAGUGGCGAGCGAAACCGAAAGAGCCUAAACCAUUGUGCGAGCACGAUGGGGUUAUGGACUGCACAAAGUCAAAGACUUGUUACCGGAAGGGAUAUGGAAAGACCUGCCAGAGAACGUGAGAGCCGUGUAGGGGAAAACAAGUCAAGAUGAGCAGUAUCCGAAGUACCAUAAGACACGAGAAACCUUGUGGGAAGUCGGGGGGACCACCCCCCAAGGCUAAAUACUACUUAGUGACCGAUAGCGCAUAGUACUGUGAAGGAAAGGUGAAAAGGACCCCGGGAGGGGAGUGAAAGAGAACCUGAAACCCUAUGUUUACAAGCUGUGGAACACCGCAAGGUGAACCGCGUACUUUUUGUAGAACGGUCCGGCGAGUUGCAUGUACUGGCAAGGUUAAGCACUAAAGGUGCGAAGCCGAAGAGAGAUCAAGUCUUAAUAGGGCGAAGAAGUCAGUGAAUGCAGACCCGAAACCGGGUGAUCUAUCCAUGUCCAGGUUGAAGUCAACGUAAAAGUUUAUGGAGGACCGAACCCACAUCCGUUGAAAAGGGUGGGGAUGAGGUGUGGAUAGGGGAGAAAUUCCAAUCGAACCCGGAGAUAGCUGGUUCUCCUCGAAAUAGUUUUAGGACUAGCCUUAAUUUAGUCUGAUGGAGGUAGAGCACUGAAUUUUUGCGGGGGCGUCAAAGCUUACCAAUGAAUAUCAAACUGCGAAUGCCAUACAGAUGAUGAUUAGGAGUCAGACUACACGAGAUAAGUUGGGUAGUCGAAAGGGAAAGAGCCCAGAUCUACGGCUAAGGUCCCAAAGUGAGUGUUAAGUGGAAAAGGAUGUAGGAUUUCAUAGACAACUAGGAUGUUGGCUUAGAAGCAGCCAUACAUUAAAAGAGUGCGUAAUAGCUCACUAGUCGAGAGGUUCUGCGCCGAAAAUGUCCGGGGCUAAAACACUACACCGAAGCCAAGGGAUGACGAAAGUCAUCGGUAGAGGAGCAAUCUUACCGACGUAGAAGCCAUACCGAAAGGAGUGGUGGAGAAGUAAGAAGAGAGAAUGCCGGAAUGAGUAGCGAGAGUGAGGUGAGAAUCCUCACGGCCAAAUACCCAAGGAUUCCAGAGUAAAGCUGAUCUGCUCUGGGUAAGUCGGGACCUAAGGCGAGGGAGAAAUCCGUAGUCGAUGGACAUCAGGUAUAUAAUCCUGAACUGCAUAUAAUCAGAAAUGUGGGGACACAGAGACUUAAGUCGAACCCGGGAGAGCAAAGACCGGGAUAAGCGAGGUAGCAGGUGGUAGGAAAAACCGCCACGAAAUGCGAAUGCGUGAUAUGUAGCGAAGAAAAGUAGCGAAGUCGAAUAGGGAGCUGUCAAGAAAAGCCGCUAUAGCGUUAUAUGUACCCGUACCGAAAACCGACACAGGUGGGUGAGGAGAGAAUCCUAAGGCCGGCGGGAGAAGCAUUGUUAAGGAACUCGGCAAAAUGACCCCGUAACUUCGGGAGAAGGGGUGCCACUUUAAAAGAGUGGUCGCAGAAAAAAGGCUCAAGCAACUGUUUAGCAAAAACACAGGUCUAUGCGAAACCGUAAGGUGAAGUAUAUGGGCUGACGCCUGCCCGGUGCCGGAAGGUUAAGAGGAGAAGUCAGGAAACGAAGCUUUGAAUUGAAGCCCCGGUAAACGGCGGCCGUAACUAUAACGGUCCUAAGGUAGCGAAAUUCCUUGUCGGGU